ACGGGAGGCAGCAGUGAGGAAUAUUGGUCAAUGGACGCAAGUCUGAACCAGCCACGUCGCGUGAAGGAAGGCGGCCCUACGGGUUGUAAACUUCUUUUAUACGGAAAUAAAGUGCCCCACGUGUGGGGUUUUGCAUGUACCGUAUGAAUAAGGAUCGGCUAACUCCGUGCCAGCAGCCGCGGUAAUACGGAGGAUCCGAGCGUUAUCCGGAUUUAUUGGGUUUAAAGGGUGCUCAGGCGGGGUAUUAAGUCGGCGGUGAAAUUUUGCAGCUCAACUGUAAAAGUGCCGUUGAUACUGUGAAGCUAGGAUUUGGUUGCUGUGGGCGGAAUGUGUGGUGUAGCGGUGAAAUGCAUAGAGAUCACACAGAAUAUCGAUUGCGAAGGCAGCUCACAAAGCCAAGAUUGACGCUGAGGCACGAAAGUGUGGGGAUCAAACAGGAUUAGAUACCCUGGUAGUCCACACUGUAAACGAUGAUAACUCGCUGUCGGCGAUAAACAGUCGGUAGCCAAGCGAAAGCGAUAAGUUAUCCACCUGGGGAGUACGACCGCAAGGUUGAAACUCAAAGGAAUUGACGG
RNAcentral lists this ribosomal RNA (575 nucleotides) under uncultured bacterium. Its description in RNAcentral is "bacterial SSU rRNA". It matches the Rfam family "Bacterial small subunit ribosomal RNA", at positions 341 to 916 of the family's 1533-position model. The record is from RNAcentral.